AAGUCGUAACAAGGUUUCCGUAGGUGAACCUGCGGAAGGAUCAUUACCAAUAUAGCGAACCGAGCGUUAGCGAGGCUUCGCGAUCAAAUUUGUAUUUAAAACCCAACUCUUUAAAUGUAUACAUUAUUGUAUUUUAAAUAAUAAAGAUCACUUUCAACAACGGAUCUCUUGGUUCUC
Molecule: unclassified non-coding RNA, 177 nt
Filed under: Glomus indicum
Lineage: Eukaryota; Fungi; Glomeromycota; Glomeromycetes; Glomerales; Glomeraceae
Description: partial internal transcribed spacer region
Rfam family: Eukaryotic small subunit ribosomal RNA (bases 1-46)
Source: RNAcentral